CCUUAGAGUUUGAUCAUGGCUCAGGACGAACGCUGGCGGCGUGCUUAACACAUGCAAGUCACGGGGGUCCGCAAGGACAACCGGCGAACGGGUGCGUAACACGUGAGCAAUCUGCCGAUCUCUGGGGGAUAGCCGGCCCAACGGCCGGGUAAUACCGCGUACGCUCAUCGGGGGGAGUCCCCUGGUGAGGAAACCUCCGGGGGAGAUCGAGGAGCUCGCGACCUAUCAGCUAGUUGGCGAGGUAACGGCUCACCAAGGCGACGACGGGUAGCUGGUCUGAGAGGAUGGCCAGCCACAUUGGGACUGCGACACGGCCCAGACUCCUACGGGAGGCAGCAGUGGGGAAUAUUGCGCAAUGGACGAAAGUCUGACGCAGCGACGCCGCGUGUGGGAUGAAGCCUUUCGGGGUGUAAACCACUGUUGCCCGGGACGAAACUCCUCUUUCGAGAGGAUUGACGGUACCGGGUGAGGAAGCACCGGCUAACUCUGUGCCAGCAGCCGCGGUAAUACAGAGGGUGCGAGCGUUGUCCGGAAUCACUGGGCGUAAAGGGCGCGUAGGUGGCGGGAUAAGCGUGUGGUGAAAGCCCGGGGCUCAACCCCGUGUCUGCCAUGCGGACUGUCUUGCUCGAGCGUAGUAGAGGCAGGUGGAAUUCCGGGUGUAGCGGUGGAAUGCGUAGAGAUCCGGAAGAACACCGGUGGCGAAGGCGGCCUGCUGGGCUACUGCUGACACUGAGGCGCGACAGCGUGGGGAGCAAACAGGAUUAGAUACCCUGGUAGUCCACGCCGUAAACGAUGGGUACUAGGUGUCUGGGGGAGCGACCCCCUGGGUGCCGACGCUAACGCAUGAAGUACCCCGCCUGGGGAGUACGGCCGCAAGGCUGAAACUCAAAGGAAUUGACGGGG
Molecule: ribosomal RNA, 903 nt
Filed under: uncultured bacterium
Lineage: Bacteria
Description: bacterial SSU rRNA
Rfam family: Bacterial small subunit ribosomal RNA
Source: RNAcentral